AACGCGAAGAACCUUACCUACACUUGACAUCCCUUGCAUUACCCGUAAUUGGGGAAAUCUCUUCGGAGACAAGGUGACAGGUGGUGCAUGGUUGUCGUCAGCUCGUGUCGUGAGAUGUUGGGUUAAGUCCCGCAACGAGCGCAACCCCUAUUGUUAGUUGCUACUAUUAAGUUAAGCACUCUAGCGAGACUGCCUGGGUUAACCAGGAGGAAGGUGGGGACGACGUCAAAUCAUCAUGCCCCUUAUGUGUAGGGCUACACACGUGCUACAAUGGCUGGUACAGAGAGACGCAAGACCGUGAGGUGGAGCAAAUCCCAGAAAACCAGUCCCAGUUCGGAUUGAAGGCUGAAACUCGCCUUCAUGAAGCCGGAGUUGCUAGUAGUCGCGAAUCAGAAUGUCGCGGUGAAUACGUUCCCGGGCCUUGUACACACCG
This 433-nucleotide ribosomal RNA is filed under the name uncultured bacterium. RNAcentral's name for it is "bacterial SSU rRNA". It matches the Rfam family "Bacterial small subunit ribosomal RNA", at positions 958 to 1392 of the family's 1533-position model. The record is from RNAcentral.